CACAUCCAGUAACACAACCAGUAACACAUCCAGUAACACAUCCAGUAACACAACCAGUAACACAUCCAGUAACACAACCAGUAACACAACCAGUAACAACCAUACACACAGUGGCCAGUUUAUUAGGUACACCCAUCUAGUACUGGGACGGACCCUCCUGUAGCCAUGAAAGGAGGCACCUUGUCAGCAACAAUGUUCAGAUACACUGUGGCGUUCAAACAUUGAUUAAUUGGCAUGAAGGGAUCUAACGUGCCAGGAAAACUGUCCUGACACCAUUACACCAGCAGCACCAGCAGCCUGUACCACUGACACCAGGCAGGAUGGGGCCAUGGACUCAUGCUGCUUAAACUAAAUCAUAACUCUGCCAUCAGCAUGACGCAACAGGAACCAGGAUUCAUCAGACUCGGACCAGGCAAAGUUUUUCCGCUCCUCAAUCGUCCGGUGUUGGUGAUCGCGUGCCCACUGAAGCCACUCUUCUUGUUUUUAGCUGAUAGGAGUGGAACCCGGUGUGGUCGUCUGCUGUAAUAGCCCAUCCACGACAAGGAUCAAAGGGAUGUGUGUUCUGAGAUGCUGUUCUGCACACCACUGUUGUACUGCUCUGUUAUUUGCCCGUCCGUGGCCCCGUCAGCUUGUAUGAUUCUUGCCAUUCUACUUUGACGUCUCAUCAACGAGCUGUUUUCACCCACAGGACUGCCGCUGACUGGAUGUUUUUGUUUGCAGCACCAUUCUCUGUAAACCCUAGACACCGUUGUGGGUGAAAAGCCCAGGAAGCCGGCCAAUUCUGAGAUACUGGAACCGGCGCGCCUGGCAACGACAAUCAUACCACACUCAGUUGCUUAGGUCGCUGGUUUUGCCCAUUCUAACGUUCAAUCAAACAGUAACUGAAUGCCUCAAUGCCUGUCUGCCUGCUUUAUAUAGCGGACCACGUGGCUCACUGUCUGUAGGAGCGAACCAUUUUUGUGAACGGGGUGGUGUACCUAAUAAACGGACCACUAUAUAUUCCCAUUUUACACACUCAUGCACACUACAGCCUAUAGCUUACACCCUACACACCAUAACCUUCCUGGAAAUCUGCUGGGGUAUAUUCAGCAAGAAAUGUUUAGAAUGUUACAGAUAAAAAAGUAAUGAAUAUAGCAGACUGGAUUCCCUAUUCUACAUGAGAGACAGACUGAGCCUGGAGUUGAACCCUGUUACUAGAGCCUGGAGUUGGACCCUGUUACUAGAGCCCGGAGUUGAACCCUGUUACUAGAGCCCGGAGUUGAACCCUGUUACUAGAGUCCGGAGUUGAACCCUGUUACUAGAGUCCGGAGUUGAACCCUGUUACUAGAGCCCGGAGUUGAACCCUGUUACUAGAGCCCGGAGUUGAACCCUGUUACUAGAGCCCGGAGUUGGACCCUGUUACUAGAGCCCGGAGUUGAACCCUGUUACUAGAGCCUGAACUUCUUCCUGCUCAGGUCAGGAUCAUGUUUAAUGACAACUUGCCUACAUAAGGAACUAAAUGAUCAUGAGAGAAUUGCGGCAUUAGUUGAUGUGAUGGUUUCUUGGAGACCAGGCUGCAGGGGAACGGACUCUGACGACCCCAGUGGCACCCAAUCAUAUGGGACAGAAUCUUUAACUGGAGUUACUCUCAACACACACCCCCAUUGUCCCAGUGGGGUUUGGGGCAGCAGAAUAAUAUUGUGUCAGUAAAGCUGGUGGUGGAUCUCUGAGGUGCUGCCGGGUAUAUUUAUUACCUUCACCAGAGUAACACUACGCUCCCAAGACAUGCCCCUCACACACACCACACACACACCAACCUCCUUAGGGAUAGACUGCAAGCGCCUCUCUCUCUCUCUCCCUCCCGCCAUUUGACAUAUUGGUGUUAAUGUACUCCUGUAGCCAGCUCUGGGCAGACAUGCAGCUGGCAGUUGACUUUUCACCCCUCUCCUCCUCUCUUCCCAACAUGUUGUACUGGGUUGUGUGUGUGUGUGUGUGUGUGUGUGUGUGUGUGUGUGUGUGUGUGUGUGUGUGUGUGUGUGUGUGUGUGUGUGUGUGUGUGUGUUUGUGUGUGUAACUAUGUAAGUGCAAGAUACUGUGUUAGUGACUGUGUGACCGCAUUGGGCUCCCGAGUGGUGCAGCAGUCUAAGGCACUGGAUCUCAGUACUAGAGGCGUCACUACAGACCCUGGUUCGAUUCCAGGCUGUAUCACAACCAGCCAUGAUUGGGAGUCCCAUAGGGCGGUGCACAAUUGGCCCAGCGUCAUCCAGAUUAGGGUUUGGCCGGGGUAGGCUGUCGUUGUAAAUAAUAAUUUGUUCUUAACUGACUUGCUUAGUUAAAUUUAACAUUUAAAAGUGGGGGUGCGGGGCUUGUGUGGAUUGAGGAUGUGUGGAAUAUGUGGGUCAGUAGCUAGGUUUCCAUCCAAUUUGCUAAAGAUUUUCAUGCAAAUAUUCUAAAAUCUGCAUAAAACAAUCUGCUCAUUUUCCCACCAUAGAUGUAUUUCUACCAAACAGACGUAUUGAGGAUAAAAGGCUGUGUGUGAUGAUGUACUGCAUAUAAAAUAACUAUUGUGGUUAAAUUCCCAUUUAACCAAAUGAAGAAUACAAGUUAAAUGGGUUUCCAUCGCAUUUUCAACUCUAAUGAUGGUUUUGUCAAGUGUGUUAUAGAGCAAAUGUGUUCACUCUGGUCUUGGCACAUGUUCUAGCCAACAGCUGGCAGACACAGUGAGGGGGGAUACCUACAUUAUCACAUUAUUAUGGAUAAUAGUGAUAUUAGUUUUAUUUGUAAAAUAGCAGCCAAGCAUCGAUCCUCAUUCACCAGAAUAAGACCCUGGAUAUUUAUUGGAGAGGAGCAUCAAGUUCAUCACCGUGCACUUUCACCACCCUGUGAAGUUCAUCACCGUGCACUUUCACCACCCUGUGAAGCUCAUCACCGUGCACUUUCACCACCCUGUGAAGCUCAUCACCGUGCACUUUCACCACCCUGUGAAGUUCAUCACCGUGCACUUUCACCACCCUGUGAAGUUCAUCAGAACUUAUUUCAUCUGUAAUCUAAUAACCUGCCUGCUUUCCCAAGUGGUGGUGGGAGGACCACACAACAUAUCAAGUGGUGGUGGGAGGACCACACAGCAUAUCAAGUGGUGGUGGGAGGACCACACAGCAUAUCAAGUGGUGGUGGGAGGACCACACAACAUAUCAAGUUGUGGUGGGAGGACCACACAACAUAUCAAGUGGUGGUGGGAGGACCACACAACAUAUCAAGUGGUGGUGGGAGGACCACACAGCAUAUCAAGUGGUGGUGGGAGGACCACACAGCAUAUCAAGUUGUGGUGGGAGGACCACACAGCAUAUCAAGUUGUGGUGGGAGGACCACACAGCAUAUCAAGUUGUGGUGGGAGGACCACACAGCAUAUCAAGUGGUGGUGGGAGGACCACACAGCAUAUCAAGUUGUGGUGGGAGGACCACACAACAUAUCAAGUGGUGGUGGGAGGACCACACAGCAUAUCAAGUGGUGGUGGGAGGACCACACAACAUAUCAAGUUGUGGUGGGAGGACCACACAACAUAUCAAGUGGUGGUGGGAGGACCACACAGCAUAUCAAGUUGUGGUGGGAGGACCACACAACAUAUCAAGUGGUGGUGGGAGGACCACACAGCAUAUCAAGUUGUGGUGGGAGGACCACACAACAUAUC
RNAcentral lists this long non-coding RNA (3668 nucleotides) under Salmo salar (Atlantic salmon). RNAcentral's name for it is "lncRNA (ENSSSAG00000114525.1)". The record is from RNAcentral. Lineage: Eukaryota; Metazoa; Chordata; Actinopteri; Salmoniformes; Salmonidae.